Small nuclear RNA from Pan paniscus (pygmy chimpanzee), 146 nucleotides. Its record names the gene U1. It matches the Rfam family "U1 spliceosomal RNA". From Rfam's summary of the family: U1 is a small nuclear RNA (snRNA) component of the spliceosome (involved in pre-mRNA splicing). Lineage: Eukaryota; Metazoa; Chordata; Mammalia; Primates; Hominidae. The record is from Ensembl.
CCACUUACCUGGCAGGAAAGAGACCGUGGUCACGAAGGGGGUUCUCCCAGAGUGAAGCUUCUUCAUCGCACUCUAGAGUUGUUGAUCUCUGUGAUUUCUUCAAUGUGGGAAACGGUGUUUGUGCUAGAAGAGGGCUGCGCUCUCUA